UACGGGGGGGGCAAGCGUUGUUCGGAAUUACUGGGCGUAAAGGGCUCGUAGGCGGCCAACUAAGUCAUACGUGAAAUCCCUCGGCUUAACCGGGGAACUGCGUCUGAUACUGGAUGGCUUGAGGUUGGGAGAGGGAUGCGGAAUUCCAGGUGUAGCGGUGAAAUGCGUAGAUAUCUGGAGGAAUACCAGAGGCGAAGGCGGCUACCUGGACAAUUGCUGACGCUCAGGCACGAAAGCGUGGGGAGCAAAAGGG
Molecule: ribosomal RNA, 253 nt
Filed under: uncultured prokaryote
Description: partial 16S ribosomal RNA
Rfam family: Bacterial small subunit ribosomal RNA
Source: RNAcentral